CCCAUUAUUUAUAAAACAGACAGACAGACAGACAACUUUAUUUAUCCCCGAAGGGAAAUUGCGUUGUUAUAGUAGUCCAGUGUCAUAAGUGGCAUAAACUAGGAAUAAAAAAUAGAAGUAAAAUAUACAAUAUAAGUAAAGUGGAAUAAAAAUAGAAAUAAAAUAAAGAUAGAAAUCCAGAGUGGAUUGGCAGAUAAAGUGCAGUGGCAAGAUGAU
Long non-coding RNA from Melanotaenia boesemani (Boeseman's rainbowfish), 216 nucleotides. RefSeq lists it as uncharacterized. Lineage: Eukaryota; Metazoa; Chordata; Actinopteri; Atheriniformes; Melanotaeniidae. The transcript has 3 exons. The record is from RefSeq and is a predicted model, not a curated record.